Molecule: transfer RNA, 76 nt
Filed under: Erysipelothrix sp. HDW6C
Lineage: Bacteria; Bacillati; Bacillota; Erysipelotrichia; Erysipelotrichales; Erysipelotrichaceae
Description: tRNA-Ala
Rfam family: tRNA
About the family: Transfer RNA (tRNA) molecules are approximately 80 nucleotides in length. Their secondary structure includes four short double-helical elements and three loops (D, anti-codon, and T loops). Further hydrogen bonds mediate the characteristic L-shaped molecular structure. tRNAs have two regions of fundamental functional importance: the anti-codon, which is responsible for specific mRNA codon recognition, and the 3' end, to which the tRNAs corresponding amino acid is attached (by aminoacyl-tRNA synthetases). tRNAs cope with the degeneracy of the genetic code in two manners: having more than one tRNA (with a specific anti-codon) for a particular amino acid; and 'wobble' base-pairing, i.e. permitting non-standard base-pairing at the 3rd anti-codon position.
Source: RNAcentral
GGGGUUUUAGCUCAGUUGGUAGAGCGCUUCGCUGGCAGUGAAGAGGUCAGCGGUUCGAACCCGCUAAGCUCCACCA